Molecule: long non-coding RNA, 1746 nt
Organism: Pieris brassicae (large cabbage white)
Lineage: Eukaryota; Metazoa; Arthropoda; Insecta; Lepidoptera; Pieridae
Exons: 3
Source: RefSeq, a predicted model, not a curated record
UGACCGUUUCGACGAAGCCUCGGAGUUGUGUGCCAUUGAGUUUUCAAUUGUCUGUGAUUUUUACUAAAGGACAAGCAGUUGUCACUUGGUCUUACGAAGACAUCGUUAGGUAUCCUUAAGAUCGCCGGUUCCUCUGACCAGAAAUUAAAACAGUAUAAAGCUUAAAUUAAAAGCUUUUUUAUACGUAUACUCAAACUCAAAAUAACUUUAGUCAUAAGCACACUUAUGAUCGUCAGAAAAGAAGUUAAAUUAAUUGUAAAUUUACAUUUAGUACCAGUUCGCAAGUCAAGGGCGUAGAGCGGGCACCAACUUAAUGAGUGCUUGUGUAACACUCCAAAAGGAACAAAAUCAUAGUUGGUGGAAAGAGAUUUUAACAGUUAUUAUUUUCCACCGUCCAGCCGACCAGAAUACCAUAUCUCCAACUCGGCUAGCUAGGAUCUGUCCGAUCCGACAAGACGCAAGAUUUUAACUUAACAUCCUCGCACGGUGUUCUAACGCUCCAAACCAGGGAACUGUUAAAAUGUAUCUUCAAAGAGCCCAUUUUAAUUCCCACCCAGAAGAUGUUCUUACCAACCACUAAAUAAAUGAAGCAGAUUCUUACCCAAUAGAUGGACACUGAUGACCUAAAUAACUAUGUGGAUGCUGUAAACUGAGGACAGCACUCAUUUCUUCAUGAUCAGCUUGAUGGAUGUACUCAUAGAUUGAAUUGCCAGUCAACUCCACCUGUGAAUUUUACUAACAUUAAAAACUGAGCUAUCGAAAACUAAUCUAAAUUAGGCAAGAAACGCUUAGAUACUCUUUAAUAAAAUUGUAUUACACUGUUUUUAGAAAUAUUUUCUAAAACAAUUUAUCUUUCUGUAACGACAGCUAAACGUCGAUUGAUAGAUGCAUGCGGCUUUGACCUGGAACCGCUAAGAGAAGAAAAGUUCAAGGUAAAGGAAAAUGUAUAAAGGCAAUGGUUGGGAGAGUUAACCCAGUAUGUUCAGACUAGAUCAAUGAAUUGCCAUAUCCUGAUGAGAUUAAACAGUAAUGGUAGGACAAGGAAUGUUGGUUGGUACCAGUUUUUAAAAUCUAUCCGGAAUGUACCACAUUCUUUGCAAAUAAACGAUUUAAGAUUUGAUAAAUUAUUUUUAUAACUGAUAAAGAAUUGUUCUGAAAUUCCAAUUUCAACUAAAUGAAUCGCUAGUAACAGUAAAGAGCAGGUUAAAGAAAGAUGGUUCAAAGCCAGUUCAUCCUUGGGAUGUCAUCAUCAUCCUGGUACCACCAUCGAAGUAUCUUUUUUCCGACAAAAAAUCGGCUCACGAACUACGAAGUUAUCCGAGAAGAAAGAAAAUAUACGGUUGAAUUGAGAAACCUUCACCGUUGAAGUCAGUUAAAAAUCUACUCCAUACCUGACUCAAACCUAGGUGAACCGACGCUGUCUCACUGAUAUACAUGAUCUUUCCGUCAGGUGCCACUACGAAGAUGAAGCCAUCGAGGGUCUGUAGUAGGUGGGACCCAAGUUCCCGUAUGGAGAGCUCCCGCGGCUGAGGUGGUGGUGGAGCGGCCCCCCAAGCGUCUCCUAAGCCUAUAAAAUAAUAUAUGGGUCCAGGUAUCUCAAGACAUUAUGGGGGUGAGAAUGUUACAGAAAGAUAUGAUAUAUCCUAUAAUCUUGGUUGUUGUGUAUACAAUGUUUUUUAAAUGUUAUGUUUAGAAAGAAAAUUAUGACUAGUUUCACUUCGGAAAUAAAAUUUCUAUAAUUUUGUA